This 462-nucleotide ribosomal RNA is filed under the name uncultured bacterium. RNAcentral describes it as "partial 16S ribosomal RNA". It matches the Rfam family "Bacterial small subunit ribosomal RNA", at positions 28 to 507 of the family's 1533-position model. The record is from RNAcentral.
GACGAACGCUGGCGGCGUGCUUAACACAUGCAAGUCGAACGGAAAGGCCCUUCUUUUUUCUCGUGCUCCGAACGGGUGAGUAACACGUGCGUAACCUUCCCUUGCCUUUGGGUUAACCCUCGGAUCCGGGGGCUAAUACUAGUUACUCCUUCUAGAUCCCGUUGUUUGGUUGGGAUAGUUUUGCGGUCUGGGAUGGACUCGCGGCUUAUCAGCUUGUUGGUGGGGUAAUGGCCUACCAAGGCCAGGACGGGUAGCCGGCCUGAGAGGGCGACCGGCCACACUGGGACUGAGAUACGGCCCAGACUCCUACGGGAGGCAGCAGUGGGGAAUAUUGCACAAUGGGCGGAAGCCUGAUGCAGCGACGCCGCGUGAGGGAUGACGGCCUUCGGGUUGUAAACCGCUUUCAGCAGGGACGAAGCGUAAGUGACGGUACCUGCAGAAGAAGCGCCGGCCAACUACGUG